RNAcentral lists this transfer RNA (76 nucleotides) under Clostridium sp. Its description in RNAcentral is "tRNA-Ala". It matches the Rfam family "tRNA". From Rfam's summary of the family: Transfer RNA (tRNA) molecules are approximately 80 nucleotides in length. Their secondary structure includes four short double-helical elements and three loops (D, anti-codon, and T loops). RNAcentral also lists the same sequence under 6 other names. The record is from RNAcentral. Lineage: Bacteria; Bacillati; Bacillota; Clostridia; Eubacteriales; Clostridiaceae.
GGGGGUAUGGCUCAGUUGGUAGAGCGAUGCGUUCGCAACGCAUAGGUCACGAGUUCGAAUCUCGUUAUCUCCACCA